RNAcentral lists this long non-coding RNA (805 nucleotides) under Pan troglodytes (chimpanzee). RNAcentral describes it as "long non-coding RNA NONPTRT014398". The record is from RNAcentral. Lineage: Eukaryota; Metazoa; Chordata; Mammalia; Primates; Hominidae.
CAAGUUGCUACAUAUCCUCUCUAACCUUUUCCUGCUUUAAGCUUACUGAUGAGUGCGGAAGGCUGACAGGGAAAGGAAGGACUGGCCCCAUCUUCCCCUUUCCUUUUCUGUCACUAUUUUUGGCUCUGUGAAUGACUGAUACAGGGAAGCAACCCGAGUGAGAAAGGCUAUGAUCGGGAAGAAAUGGAAACCCUGAACAGACGAGUAAUGAGUUCCAAAAUUGAAUCAGUAAUAAAACACCCACCAAGCAGAAAAAUCCCUGGACCAGACAGUUUCACAGCCAAAUUCUACCAGACAUAUAGAAUAACUUGUACUAAUCCUGCUGAAACUAUUCCAAAAAAUCAAGGCCAAGAAAGGGACUCCUCCCUAACUCAUUCUAUGAGGCCAGCCUCAUUCUGAUACCAAAACCUGGCAGAGACACACAUGAAAAAAGAAAACUUCAAGCCAAUGUCCCUGACGAACAUAGAUGCAAAAAUUCUCAACAAAAUACUUGCAAACCAAAUCCAGCAGCAUAUCAAAAAUCUAAUCCACCUUCAUCAAGUAGACUUUAUCCCUGAGAUGCAAGGUUGGUUCAACAUACACAACUCAAUAAAUGUAAUUUAUCACAUAAACAGAACUAAAAAGAAGAGCCAUAUGAUCAUCUCAAGAGAUGCAGAAAAGGCUUUUGGUAAAAUUCAACAUCCCUUCAUGUAAAAAACCCUUAACAAACUAGGCAUCAAAGGAACAUACCUCAAUAAGAGCCAAAUAUGAUAAACCCACAGCCAACAUCGUAUUAAAUGGACAAGAGCUGGAAGUAUUCUCCUUG